GAUGAACGCUGGCGGCGUGCCUAAUACAUGCAAGUCGAGCGAACAGAUAAGGAGCUUGCUCCUUUGACGUUAGCGGCGGACGGGUGAGUAACACGUGGGUAACCUACCUAUAAGACUGGAAUAACUCCGGGAAACCGGGGCUAAUGCCGGAUAACAUUUAGAACCGCAUGGUUCUAAAGUGAAAGAUGGUUUUGCUAUCACUUAUAGAUGGACCCGCGCCGUAUUAGCUAGUUGGUAAGGUAACGGCUUACCAAGGCAACGAUACGUAGCCGACCUGAGAGGGUGAUCGGCCACACUGGAACUGAGACACGGUCCAGACUCCUACGGGAGGCAGCAGUAGGGAAUCUUCCGCAAUGGGCGAAAGCCUGACGGAGCAACGCCGCGUGAGUGAUGAAGGUCUUCGGAUCGUAAAACUCUGUUAUUAGGGAAGAACAAAUGUGUAAGUAACUGGGCACGUCUUGACGGUACCUAAUCAGAAAGCCACGGCUAACUACGUGC
Molecule: ribosomal RNA, 498 nt
Filed under: uncultured bacterium
Lineage: Bacteria
Description: partial 16S ribosomal RNA
Rfam family: Bacterial small subunit ribosomal RNA
Source: RNAcentral